CCCCUCUCAGGAUUGCACCUGGAGAGUUCCCAGUAUUCUACCAGGCUUGGCUAUGGAAUGGAGAGUCAAGCAGACGCCUACCCAUUCCAUUCCUAGCUUGAGCAGUGUUUAGCAAGUGGAAGGCAAUCUGCUACAAGU
Molecule: small nucleolar RNA, 138 nt
Organism: Tachyglossus aculeatus (Australian echidna)
Lineage: Eukaryota; Metazoa; Chordata; Mammalia; Monotremata; Tachyglossidae
Source: RefSeq, a predicted model, not a curated record